CGUAAUUCCCUUUUUAUGCACGUUUCUCUCAACGAGUAUUCUGACCUUCAACUUAAGCCUGAGAAUAGCAUGCUAUUCACCCGCUAUUCACCCGCUAUUCACCCGCUAUUUAUUUGGGGUGGAUAUCAAAUAUGUGAAGGUGUGACUACUGAUACACUGUAUUAAUGGAGGUGUGACUACUGAUACACUGUUUUAAUGGAGGUGUGUCUACUGAUACACUGUUUUAAUGGAGGUGUGUCUACUGAUACACUGUUUUAAUGGAGGUGUGUCUACAGAUACACUGUAUAAAUGGAGGUGUGGAGGAGGUGUGUCUACAGAGACACUGUAUUAAUGGAGGUGUGGAGGAGGUGUGUCUACAGAGACACUGUAUUAAUGGAGGUGUGUCUACAGAUACACUGUAUUAAUGGAGGUGUGGUGGAGGUGUGUCUACAGAUACACUGUAUUAAUGGAGGUGUGUCUACUGAUACACUGUAUUAAUGGAGGUGUGGAGGAGGUGUGUCUACAGAUACACUGUUUUAAUGGAGGUGUGGAGGAGGUGUGUCUACAGAUACACUGUAUUAAUGGAGGUGUGGUGGAGGUGUGUCUACAGAUACACUGUAUUAAUGGAGGUGUGGUGGAGGUGUGUCUACCUUGACUUAAGAUCCACCACCUUCACAAGUGAUGACUAAGGUUCUCAGUGCAACUGCUACUUUCUUUAUGAAAUUAAAUAACAUUCUGUUUUACUACAGAUGGGGAGCCCCACCGGGCCUUCACGACUGGACUACCGACGUUAUCUACCCGAGGGAGUUAUCCAACUGGCCCCUCCGUUGCGACGUUACCUGAACGCCCAUCUGCAGCCCGCUAAUCGUUAGCUGUCUUAUCGGCUGUUGUCUGAAUAGGUCUGUCGCACAAUAUUUCUUGGGUCACUACAACUAUAUCUAUUUUGCCAAUUGGAUUGGUCCCCUCUACCACACGGAACCCCACUAAUCUACCGACAGAAACGCACGAGGUGGCUAAAAACAGACCUCCAUCCUAUGCUAGUUUGCUACCGAUGGCCUGGCUAGCUGUCUGAAUCGCCGUGACCCCCACCAACCUCACUACUCACUGGACCCUUAUGAUCACUCGACUAAGCACGCCUCUCCUUAAUGUCAAUAUGCCUUGUCCAUUGCUGUUCUGGUUAGUGUUUAUUGGCUUAUUUCACUGUAGAGCCUCUAGCCCUGCUCACUAUACCUUAUCCAACCUUUCAGUUCCACCACCCACACAUGCGAUGACAUCACCUGGUUUCAAUGAUGUUUCUAGAGAUAAUAUCUCCCUCAUCAUCACUCAAUACCUAGGUUUACCCCCACUGUAUUCACAUCCUACCAUACCUUUGUCUGUACAUUAUACCUUGAAGCUAUUUUAUCGCCCCCAGAAACCUCCUUUUACUCUCUUUUCCAGACGACCAAUUCUUAUUGCUUUUAGCCGUACCCUUAUCCUACUCCUCCUCUGUUCCUUUGGUGAUGUAGAGGUGAAUCCAGGCCCUGCAGUGCCUAGCUCCACUCCUAUUUCCCAGGAACUCUCUUUUGAUGACUUCUGUAACCGUAAUAGCCUUGGUUUCAUGCAUGUUAACAUUAGAAGCCUCCUCCCUAAGUUUGUUUUAUUCACUGCUUUAGCACAAUCUGCCAACCCGGAUGUCCUAACCGUGUCUGAAUCCUGGCUUUGGCAGACCACCAAAAACUCUGAAAUCUCCAUCCCUAACUACAACAUUUUCAGACAAGAUAGAACGGCCAAAGGGGGCGGUGUUGCAAUUUACUGCAGAGAUAGCCUGCAGAGUUCCGUCCAACUAUCCAGGUCUGUACCCAAACAAUUUGAACUUCUACUUUUAAAAAUCCACCCCUCUAAAAAUAAGUCUCUCACCGUUGCCGCCUGCUAUAGACCACCCUCUGCCCCCAGCUGUGCUCUGGACACCAUAUGUGAACUGAUUGCCCCCCAUCUAUCUUCAGAGCUCGUGCUGCAAGGUGACCUAAACUGGAACAUGCUUAGCACCCCAGCCAUCCUACAAUCUAAGCUUGAUGCCCUCAAUCUCACACAAAUCAAUGAACCUACCAGAUACCACCCCAAAGCCGUAAACACGGGCACCCUCAUAGAUAUCAUCCUAACCAACUUGCCCUCUAAAUACACCUCUGCUGUUUUCAACCAAGAUCUCAGAGAUCACUGCCUCAUUGCCUGCAUCCGUAAUGGGUCAGCGGUCAAGCGACCUCCACUCAUCACUGUCAAACGCUCCCUGAAACACUUCAGCGAGCAGGCCUUUCUAAUCGACUGCUCUUAAAUACAAGUAAAACCAAAUGCAUGCUAUUCAACCGAUCACUGCCUGCACCUGCCCGCCCAUCCAGCAUCACUACCCUGGACGGUUCUGACUUGUGGAUAACUACAAAUACCUAGGUGUCUGGUUAGACUGUAAACUCUCCUUGCAGACUCACAUCAAACAUCUCCAAUCCAAAGUUCAAUUCUAGAUUUGCUUCCUAUUUCACAACAAAGCAUCCUUCACUCAUGCUGUCAAGCAUACCCUCGUAAAACUGACCAUCCUACCGAUCCUCGACUUCGCCGAUGUCAUUUACAACAGAGCCUCCAAUACCCUACUCAAUAAAUUGGAUGCACUCUAUCACAGUGCCAUCCGUUUUGUCACCAAAGCCCCAUAUUCUACCCACCACUGUGACCUGUACGCUCUCGUUGGCUGGCCCUCGCUUCAUACUCAUCGCCAAACCCACUGGCUCCAGGUCAUCUACAAGACCCUGCUAGGUAAAGUCCCCCCUUAUCUCAGCUCGCUGGUCACCAUAGCAGCACCCACCUGUAUCACGCGCUCCAGCAGGUAUAUCUCUCUAGUCACCCCCAAAACCAAUUCUUCCUUUGGCCGCCUCUCCUUCCAGUUCUUUGCUGCCAAUAACUGGAACGAACUACAAAAAUCUCUGAAACUGGAAACACUUAUCUCCCUCACUAGCUUUAAGCACCAGCUGUCAGAGCAGCUCACAGAUUACUGCACCUGUACAUAGCCCACCUAUAAUUUAGCCCAAACAACUACCUCUCCCCCUUCUGUAUUUAUUUUAUUUAUUUAUUUUACUCCUUUGCACCCCAUUAUUUCUAUUUCUACUUUGCACAUUCUUCCACUGCAAAUCUACCAUUCCAGUGUUUUACUUACUAUAUUGUAUUUACUUCGCCACCAUGGCCUUUUUUUGCCUUUACCUCCCUUAUCUCACCUCAUUUGCUCACAUCGUAUAUAGACUUGUUUAUACUGUAUUAUUGACUGUAUGUUUGUUU
Oncorhynchus tshawytscha (Chinook salmon) is the source of this 3273-nucleotide long non-coding RNA. The record is from Ensembl. NCBI's taxonomy places the organism in Eukaryota, Metazoa, Chordata, Actinopteri, Salmoniformes, Salmonidae.